Non-coding RNA from Hydra vulgaris (swiftwater hydra), 242 nucleotides. The record is from RefSeq and is a predicted model, not a curated record. Lineage: Eukaryota; Metazoa; Cnidaria; Hydrozoa; Anthoathecata; Hydridae.
CAAUUACAAAGUAUCGUGUCGCAAAGGAAUCAAAAGAUUUUUCCAAAGAUGUUUCCCUGAUUGACAUUUUAAAUUCAUCAAAGAAUUUACCAAAACCAUGCUGGGAAUUUUGUGGGGCAAGUGAUAGAUUACCAAUUCCUUAUAGUGGGCACUCUUAUAUAUUGCUUGGAAAGCGAAUUUAUCACUGCCAUCAAGGUAAAGAUAUUGAUGCUAAAAAAAAAGAAAGAUACCGAAUGGAAAAU